Molecule: long non-coding RNA, 280 nt
Organism: Micropterus salmoides (largemouth bass)
Lineage: Eukaryota; Metazoa; Chordata; Actinopteri; Centrarchiformes; Centrarchidae
Exons: 2
Source: RefSeq, a predicted model, not a curated record
UUUUGGACUCAGUCUAUCAGUCACUCUGUUGUUUCACAGUGUUUCUAACAGUAAACAUCCCAAACCUACCUGCUGUCUCCUGGAAUUAAAGAACCUGUUAGCUAUCUGCCAAGAUAGCCACUAUGUCCACAUCAUAGCAGAAUAAUUAUAAUUUCUUUAUUCUAAUAUUCCAAUAUUUUGAGAUUGACUUUCAUGAGCUGUGAGCUGUAAUCAUCAAGAUUAAAAUAAAAAAAAUUAAUAUAAGCCCUAAAAUGAUGGUCGAGGGCCUUGAAGCAGAUAA